UACGAAGGGUGCUAGCGUUGUUCGGAAUCACUGGGCGUAAAGCGCACGUAGGCGGAUGUGUCAGUCAGGGGUGAAAUCCCGGAGCUCAACUUCGGAACUGCCUUUGAUACAGCACGUCUUGAGUCCGGAAGAGGUGGGUGGAAUUCCUAGUGUAGAGGUGAAAUUCGUAGAUAUUAGGAAGAACACCGGUGGCGAAGGCGGCCCACUGGUCCGGUACUGACGCUGAGGUGCGAAAGCGUGGGGAGCAAACAGG
Molecule: ribosomal RNA, 253 nt
Filed under: uncultured bacterium
Lineage: Bacteria
Description: partial 16S ribosomal RNA
Rfam family: Bacterial small subunit ribosomal RNA
Source: RNAcentral